GCCGACGGUGCCCUGGAAACAGGGUGAAAAGGGAAUGCGGUGUGAAACCGCGGCUGCCCCCGCAACUGUAAGCGGAGAGUCCUUUCUUGGUGAGCCACUGGGUUGUCCCGGGAAGGCAUGAGCAAGGACAUCGACCCGUGAGCCAGGAGACCUGCCGUCGCCU
This 163-nucleotide non-coding RNA is filed under the name Microvirga massiliensis. The record is from RNAcentral. Lineage: Bacteria; Pseudomonadati; Pseudomonadota; Alphaproteobacteria; Hyphomicrobiales; Methylobacteriaceae.